GGAGGGUGCAAGCGUUAAUCGGAUUACUGGGCGUAAAGCGCACGCAGGCGGUUUGUUAAGUCAGAUGUGAAAUCCCCGGGCUCAACCUGGGAACUGCAUCUGAUACUGGCAAGCUUGAGUCUCGUAGAGGGGGGUAGAAUUCCAGGUGUAGCGGUGAAAUGCGUAGAGAUCUGGAGGAAUACCGGUGGCGAAGGCGGCCCCCUGGACGAAGACUGACGCUCAGGUGCGAAAGCGUGGGGAGCAAACAGGAUUAGAUACCCGGGUAGUCCACGCCGUAAACGAUGUCGACUUGGAGGUUGUGCCCUUGAGGCGUGGCUUCCGGAGCUAACGCGUUAAGUCGACCGCCUGGGGAGUACGGCCGCAAGGUUA
Molecule: ribosomal RNA, 369 nt
Filed under: uncultured organism
Description: partial 16S ribosomal RNA
Rfam family: Bacterial small subunit ribosomal RNA
Source: RNAcentral